UGGGCAACCUGCCCCUCUCUCUGGGAUAACCCCCGGGAAACCGGAGCUAAUACCGGAUACUCCGGCUGGAUCGCAUGGUCCGGCCGGGAAAGGUCCGCCGGAGAGGGAUGGGCCCGCGGCCUAUCAGCUUGUUGGUGGGGUCAUGGCUCACCAAGGCGACGACGGGUAGCUGGUCUGAGAGGACGACCAGCCACACUGGAACUGAGAUACGGUCCAGACUCCUACGGGAGCA
RNAcentral lists this ribosomal RNA (232 nucleotides) under uncultured bacterium. RNAcentral's name for it is "partial 16S ribosomal RNA". It matches the Rfam family "Bacterial small subunit ribosomal RNA", at positions 118 to 347 of the family's 1533-position model. The record is from RNAcentral.